GGGCUAUAGCUCAGCUGGGAGAACGCCUGCCUUGCACGCAGGAAGUCAGCGGUUCGAUCCCGCUUAGCUCCACCAUA
Molecule: transfer RNA, 77 nt
Filed under: Erwinia rhapontici
Lineage: Bacteria; Pseudomonadati; Pseudomonadota; Gammaproteobacteria; Enterobacterales; Erwiniaceae
Description: tRNA-Ala
Rfam family: tRNA
About the family: Transfer RNA (tRNA) molecules are approximately 80 nucleotides in length. Their secondary structure includes four short double-helical elements and three loops (D, anti-codon, and T loops). Further hydrogen bonds mediate the characteristic L-shaped molecular structure. tRNAs have two regions of fundamental functional importance: the anti-codon, which is responsible for specific mRNA codon recognition, and the 3' end, to which the tRNAs corresponding amino acid is attached (by aminoacyl-tRNA synthetases). tRNAs cope with the degeneracy of the genetic code in two manners: having more than one tRNA (with a specific anti-codon) for a particular amino acid; and 'wobble' base-pairing, i.e. permitting non-standard base-pairing at the 3rd anti-codon position.
Source: RNAcentral